GCUGGGCAUGGUGGCGUGUGCCUGUAGUCCCAGCUACUCAGGAGGCUGAGGCAGGAGAAUCGCUUGAGCCUGGGAGGUGGAAGUUGCAGUGAGCCAAGAUCAUGCCACUGCACUCCAGCCUGGGUGACAGAGUGAGACCCUGUCUCAA
This 148-nucleotide non-coding RNA is filed under the name Homo sapiens (human). The record is from Rfam by way of RNAcentral. Lineage: Eukaryota; Metazoa; Chordata; Mammalia; Primates; Hominidae.